CCUACGGGUGGCAGCAGUGAGGAAUAUUGGUCAAUGGGCGUAAGCCUGAACCAGCCAAGUCGCGUGAGGGAUUAAGGUUCUAUGGAUCGUAAACCUCUUUUAUAAGGGAAUAAAGUGCGGGACGUGUCCCGCUUUGUAUGUACCUUAUUAAUAAUGAUCGGCUAACUCCGUGCCAGCAGCCGCGGUAAUACGGAGGAUCCGAGCGUUCUCCGGAUUCAUUGGGUUUAAAGGGUGCGUAGGCGGCCUUUUAAGUCAGCGGUGAAAGUCUGUGGCUCAACCAUAGGAUGGCCGUUGAAACUGGGAGGCGUGAGUAUGUGUGAGGCAGGCGGAAUGCGUGGGGUAGCGGUGAAAUGCUUAGAUAUCACGCAGAACCCUCAUGGCGAAGGCAGGCUGCCAGGCCAUGACUGACGCUGAUGCACGAAAGCGUGGGGAUCAAACAGGAUUAGAUACCCCAGUAGUC
RNAcentral lists this ribosomal RNA (460 nucleotides) under uncultured bacterium. Its description in RNAcentral is "partial 16S ribosomal RNA". It matches the Rfam family "Bacterial small subunit ribosomal RNA", at positions 338 to 795 of the family's 1533-position model. The record is from RNAcentral.